RNAcentral lists this ribosomal RNA (505 nucleotides) under uncultured bacterium. RNAcentral's name for it is "partial 16S ribosomal RNA". It matches the Rfam family "Bacterial small subunit ribosomal RNA", at positions 28 to 507 of the family's 1533-position model. The record is from RNAcentral.
GACGAACGCUGGCGGCGUGCCUAAUACAUGCAAGUAGAACGCACAGUUUAUACCGUAGCUUGCUACACCAUAGACUGUGAGUUGCGAACGGGUGAGUAACGCGUAGGUAACCUGCCUGGUAGCGGGGGGUAACUAUUGGAAACGAUAGCUAAUACCUCAUAAUAUUCAUUAUUGCAUGCUAAUUAAUUGAAAGGUGCAAUUUCACCACUACCAGCUGGACCUGCUUUGUAUUAGCUAGUAGGUGAGGUAACGGCUCAACUAGGCGACGAUACAUCGCCGACCUGAGGGGGUGAUCGGCCACACUGGGACUGAGACACGGCCCAGACUCCCACGGGAGGCAGCAGUAGGGAAUCUUCGGCAAUGGGCGAAAGUCUGAACGAGCAACGCCGCGUGAGUGAAGAAGGUUGUCGGAUCGUAAAGCUCUGUUGUAAGAGAAGAAAGGGUGUGAGAGUGGAAAGUUCACACUGUGACGGUAGCUUACCAGAAAGGGACGGCUAACUACGUG